AAAUUGAAGAGUUUGAUCAUGGCUCAGAUUGAACGCUGGCGGCAGGCCUAACACAUGCAAGUCGAACGGUAACAGGAAUCAGCUUGCUGAUUCGCUGACGAGUGGCGGACGGGUGAGUAAUGUCUGGGAAACUGCCUGAUGGAGGGGGAUAACUACUGGAAACGGUAGCUAAUACCGCAUAACGUCGCAAGACCAAAGAGGGGGACCUUCGGGCCUCUUGCCAUCGGAUGUGCCCAGAUGGGAUUAGCUGGUAGGUGGGGUAACGGCUCACCUAGGCGACGAUCCCUAGCUGGUCUGAGAGGAUGACCAGCCACACUGGAACUGAGACACGGUCCAGACUCCUACGGGAGGCAGCAGUGGGGAAUAUUGCACAAUGGGCGCAAGCCUGAUGCAGCCAUGCCGCGUGUAUGAAGAAGGCCUUCGGGUUGUAAAGUACUUUCAGCGGGGAGGAAGGGAGUAAAGUUAAUACCUUUGCUCAUUGACGUUACCCGCAGAAGAAGCACCGGCUAACUCCGUGCCAGCAGCCGCGGUAAUACGGAGGGUGCAAGCGUUAAUCGGAAUUACUGGGCGUAAAGCGCACGCAGGCGGUUUGUUAAGUCAGAUGUGAAAUCCCCGGGCUCAACCUGGGAACUGCAUCUGAUACUGGCAAGCUUGAGUCUCGUAGAGGGGGGUAGAAUUCCAGGUGUAGCGGUGAAAUGCGUAGAGAUCUGGAGGAAUACCGGUGGCGAAGGCGGCCCCCUGGACGAAGACUGACGCUCAGGUGCGAAAGCGUGGGGAGCAAACAGGAUUAGAUACCCUGGUAGUCCACGCCGUAAACGAUGUCGACUUGGAGGUUGUGCCCUUGAGGCGUGGCUUCCGGAGCUAACGCGUUAAGUCGACCGCCUGGGGAGUACGGCCGCAAGGUUAAAACUCAAAUGAAUUGACGGGGGCCCGCACAAGCGGUGGAGCAUGUGGUUUAAUUCGAUGCAACGCGAAGAACCUUACCUGGUCUUGACAUCCACGGAAGUUUUCAGAGAUGAGAAUGUGCCUUCGGGAACCGUGAGACAGGUGCUGCAUGGCUGUCGUCAGCUCGUGUUGUGAAAUGUUGGGUUAAGUCCCGCAACGAGCGCAACCCUUAUCCUUUGUUGCCAGCGGUCCGGCCGGGAACUCAAAGGAGACUGCCAGUGAUAAACUGGAGGAAGGUGGGGAUGACGUCAAGUCAUCAUGGCCCUUACGACCAGGGCUACACACGUGCUACAAUGGCGCAUACAAAGAGAAGCGACCUCGCGAGAGCAAGCGGACCUCAUAAAGUGCGUCGUAGUCCGGAUUGGAGUCUGCAACUCGACUCCAUGAAGUCGGAAUCGCUAGUAAUCGUGGAUCAGAAUGCCACGGUGAAUACGUUCCCGGGCCUUGUACACACCGCCCGUCACACCAUGGGAGUGGGUUGCAAAAGAAGUAGGUAGCUUAACCUUCGGGAGGGCGCUUACCACUUUGUGAUUCAUGACUGGGGUGAAGUCGUAACAAGGUAACCGUAGGGGAACCUGCGGUUGGAUCACCUCCUUACCUUAAAGAAGC
Molecule: ribosomal RNA, 1554 nt
Filed under: Escherichia fergusonii
Lineage: Bacteria; Pseudomonadati; Pseudomonadota; Gammaproteobacteria; Enterobacterales; Enterobacteriaceae
Description: bacterial SSU rRNA
Rfam family: Bacterial small subunit ribosomal RNA
Source: RNAcentral